RNAcentral lists this ribosomal RNA (402 nucleotides) under bacterium. RNAcentral's name for it is "partial 16S ribosomal RNA". It matches the Rfam family "Bacterial small subunit ribosomal RNA", at positions 355 to 776 of the family's 1533-position model. The record is from RNAcentral.
UGGGGAAUAUUGCACAAUGGGGGAAACCCUGAUGCAGCGACGCCGCGUGAACGAAGAAGGUAUUCGUAUCGUAAAGUUCUGUCCUAUGGGAAGAUAAUGACAGUACCAUAGAAGAAAGCUCCGGCUAAAUACGUGCCAGCAGCCGCGGUAAUACGUAUGGAGCGAGCGUUGUCCGGAAUUAUUGGGCGUAAAGGGUACGCAGGCGGUUUAAUAAGUCGAAUGUUAAAGAUCGGGGCUCAACCCCGUAAAGCAUUGGAAACUGAUAAACUUGAGUAGUGGAGAGGAAAGUGGAAUUCCUAGUGUAGUGUGAAAUACGUAGAUAUUAGGAGGAAUACCAGUAGCGAAGGCGACUUUCUGGACACAAACUGACGCUGAGGUACGAAAGCGUGGGGAGCAAACAGG